RNAcentral lists this ribosomal RNA (990 nucleotides) under Triticum aestivum (bread wheat). RNAcentral describes it as "partial small subunit ribosomal RNA". Lineage: Eukaryota; Viridiplantae; Streptophyta; Magnoliopsida; Poales; Poaceae. The record is from RNAcentral.
AUGUCGGUGCACAUCGCGGCCGUGGCGGUUCUCAUCGCGCUCCUCGCCCCCGCCCGAGCCUCGGACGUCUCCUCCUUCCCGCUCACGCAGACGCAGUCCCCGGCCAACGCCUCCGCGGCGCCCUCCUCCCCGCCCUGCCGCCUCGACCUCUCCGCGGAGCUCUUCGGCGGCGUGGCCGCGGCGUGCGGGGCCGGCGGCGGGCCGGGCUCCCUCGACCGCGGCCGCUGCUGCCCCGUCCUCGCGGCCUGGCUCUUCGCGGCGCACGCGCGCACGGCGCUGUCCGUCCCGGCGCCGGCGCCGGCGCUGGCGGGCGAGGGCCUGGACGGGGGCGAGGGCCCCAUGGUCCCGUACGACAACCAGCGGUGCGUGGACGCGCUGGGCACCGCGCUGGAGAAGCGCGGGGUGGCGCUGCAGCGGCCCAACGCGACGUGCGACACGGUGAUCUGCUUCUGCGGCAUCCGGCUCCACCAGAUCGGCUCGCUCCGCUGCCCGGCCGCGUUCGCCGUCGGCGCCGCCGCCAGGAACGCCACGCCCACCGCCGCGGUCAAGGACCUGGAGAAGAGCUGCCGCAACGCGUCCUACGCCGGCUGCUCCCGCUGCGUCCAGUCCCUGCAAAAGGUGAAGGGGAACGUGAGCCGGGAGGUCGCCGGCGGCGACCGCGCCCGGCGGAUGCUGGGGCUGGACUGCCAGCUGAUGGGCCUGACGUGGCUGCUGGCCAAGAACAAGACGGUGUACAUCCCCACCGUGUCCGCCGUGCUGCGCGCCAUGCUCUACACCGCGCACCCCACCGAGUCCGGCAGCCACUCCAAGGUUGGCGGCGGCAGCGGCGGGGCGCCGCCGCGGUGCAGCCCGGACCAGGAGAACAUGCCGCUGGCCGUGGACUCGCUGCAGUUCGAGCACGCCGGCAGCACGAGCUCGGCCGCCGCCCUGCUCCGCGGCUCCCUCCUCUGGCUGGCGCUCUACUGCUUCCUCUGGGACGCGUUCUUGUAA